This 373-nucleotide ribosomal RNA is filed under the name uncultured bacterium. Its description in RNAcentral is "bacterial SSU rRNA". It matches the Rfam family "Bacterial small subunit ribosomal RNA", at positions 959 to 1333 of the family's 1533-position model. The record is from RNAcentral.
ACGCGAAGAACCUUACCUAGGCUUGACAUGCAUCUCUAAGCGCGUGAAAGCGCGUGACCCUUCGGGGGAUUUGCACAGGUGCUGCAUGGCCGUCGUCAGCUCGUGUCGUGAGAUGUUGGGUUAAGUCCCGCAACGAGCGCAACCCUUGUGAUUUGUUGCCAGCGGGUAAAGCCGGGAACUCGAAUCAGACUGCCCAGAUCAAUUGGGAGGAAGGUGGGGAGGACGUCAGGUCAGUAUGGCCCUUACGCCUAGGGCUGCACACGUACUACAAUGCCCAGUACAAUGAGAGCGGAAGCCGCGAGGUAGAGGAAAUCUGGAAAACUGGUCCCAGUUCGGAUUGGAGUCUGCAACUCGCCUCCAUGAAGUCGGAAUC